RNAcentral lists this ribosomal RNA (1253 nucleotides) under Shouchella clausii. RNAcentral describes it as "bacterial SSU rRNA". It matches the Rfam family "Bacterial small subunit ribosomal RNA", at positions 120 to 1361 of the family's 1533-position model. Lineage: Bacteria; Bacillati; Bacillota; Bacilli; Caryophanales; Bacillaceae. The record is from RNAcentral.
GGCACCUGCCCUUAGACUGGGAUAACUCCGGGAAACCGGAGCUAAUACCGGAUUAUCCCUUUUUCCACCUGGAGAGAGGGUGAAAGAUGGCUUCGGCUAUCACUAGGGGAUGGGCCCGCGGCGCAUUAGCUAGUUGGUAAGGUAACGGCUUACCAAGGCAACGAUGCGUAGCCGACCUGAGAGGGUGAUCGGCCACACUGGGACUGAGACACGGCCCAGACUCCUACGGGAGGCAGCAGUAGGGAAUCUUCCGCAAUGGACGAAAGUCUGACGGAGCAACGCCGCGUGAGUGAGGAAGGCCUUCGGGUCGUAAAGCUCUGUUGUGAGGGAAGAAGCGGUACCGUUCGAAUAGGGCGGUACCUUGACGGUACCUCACCAGAAAGCCACGGCUAACUACGUGCCAGCAGCCGCGGUAAUACGUAGGUGGCAAGCGUUGUCCGGAAUUAUUGGGCGUAAAGCGCGCGCAGGCGGCUUCUUAAGUCUGAUGUGAAAUCUCGGGGCUCAACCCCGAGCGGCCAUUGGAAACUGGGGAGCUUGAGUGCAGAAGAGGAGAGUGGAAUUCCACGUGUAGCGGUGAAAUGCGUAGAGAUGUGGAGGAACACCAGUGGCGAAGGCGACUCUCUGGUCUGUAACUGACGCUGAGGCGCGAAAGCGUGGGGAGCAAACAGGAUUAGAUACCCUGGUAGUCCACGCCGUAAACGAUGAGUGCUAGGUGUUAGGGGUUUCGAUGCCCGUAGUGCCGAAGUUAACACAUUAAGCACUCCGCCUGGGGAGUACGGCCGCAAGGCUGAAACUCAAAGGAAUUGACGGGGACCCGCACAAGCAGUGGAGCAUGUGGUUUAAUUCGAAGCAACGCGAAGAACCUUACCAGGUCUUGACAUCCUUUGACCACCCAAGAGAUUGGGCUUCCCCUUCGGGGGCAAAGUGACAGGUGGUGCAUGGUUGUCGUCAGCUCGUGUCGUGAGAUGUUGGGUUAAGUCCCGCAACGAGCGCAACCCUUGAUCUUAGUUGCCAGCAUUAAGUUGGGCACUCUAAGGUGACUGCCGGUGACAAACCGGAGGAAGGUGGGGAUGACGUCAAAUCAUCAUGCCCCUUAUGACCUGGGCUACACACGUGCUACAAUGGAUGGUACAAAGGGCAGCGAAACCGCGAGGUGAAGCCAAUCCCAUAAAGCCAUUCUCAGUUCGGAUUGCAGGCUGCAACUCGCCUGCAUGAAGCCGGAAUUGCUAGUAAUCGCGGAUCAGCAUGCCGCG